AAUUGUGCUUCCACAUCCAUGGUGUUUUCUCUACACAGAUUGCUGGUUUUACCUCAAGUCCAAAGCUUUAAGUUGACCUGAAUAUUUCCAGUUAACAUUCUCUUUGUCAGAGGGGCAUGAACUUCUCCCCGGUUAAAGAAUCUCUCCACACAAGGAGAUGCAAGUCAGGUGAUUGGGCCUCUUACUGAAGGACAGAGAAGAAAUGUGGCAGUAGUGAAUUCAUUGUAUAAGUUGCACCAAUCAGUAACAAAGGUUGUUUCCAGUCAGAGCUCAUUCCCACUGGCAGCUGAGCAAACUAUAAUUUCAGCUCUAAAGGAUCUGCAGUACAGUGUUGAAUAGAACUGGCUAUUCAUGCUCUUAUGGAAAAUGCUGUGCAACCCUUACUCACUUCUGUGGGAGAUGCUAUAGAGGCCAUAAUCAUCACCAUGCAUCAAGAAGACUUUUCUGGGUCAUUAUCCAGCUCAGGAAAACCUGAUGUUCCUUGUUCUCUGUACAUGAAGGAGCUACAAGGUUUCAUUGCCAGAGUUAUGAGUGACUAUUUUAAACACUUUGAAUGCUUGGAUUUUGUCUUUGACAACACU
This 581-nucleotide long non-coding RNA is filed under the name Homo sapiens (human). RNAcentral describes it as "component of oligomeric golgi complex 5 (ENSG00000284369.3)". The record is from RNAcentral. Lineage: Eukaryota; Metazoa; Chordata; Mammalia; Primates; Hominidae.